CACAUACAGAGUAACAUAGACCAAAGUUGUACAUCAAAAAUAUACAAUGUGCACGUAACUAACAGCGAAGCUCUAGUGCAUCGUGCUCGCGGAAGUCGUGAGAUCACGCACGCUGCGCAAGAAUUUUAUUUGAACUUCGAGAAGAGGAAGACAUUAGUAGACAAAGUGGAAGACAUUAAAAUAGGAAUGUGUAUAUGGCAAUCUUUCAAAAAAGCUUGAAAGGGAUGUACUUUUUCUGAUAACAGUAAAAAAUAUGUGGUUCCUCUAUUUGAUCAAAAAUUACGAUCUCGCUGCAAGACGAACGAAGACCUACGAAUCAAGAUGCAAUACAGUUUCUGGAAGUUUACAGCUAGACUAUUUAAUUGUAAUCCAAGGAGAUGAAAUGAUGAAAUACUAGGCAGAAAGAUACGAUCCGAAUGACAUUUCCUUCCGCGUGCGAGCAAAAUGCGAGCUCAUACGGGCUUUCGUAUGCAUAAAUCAGCGUUAAAAUGAAGUCAAGGCAUUUAAUUAUUAUCUGUAGAAUAAACCGUUCUACCCCAAAUAUCGUUGAAUUUGUUAAAUCCAGCCUGAUGACCGUUGCUACGACACCGUAGUUAUUUGUACUUGGAUUAAAGAUCAAAAUACUUUAUCAGUUA
This is a long non-coding RNA of Bombus impatiens (common eastern bumble bee), 635 nucleotides long. RefSeq lists it as uncharacterized. The record is from RefSeq and is a predicted model, not a curated record. The transcript has 2 exons. Lineage: Eukaryota; Metazoa; Arthropoda; Insecta; Hymenoptera; Apidae.